CAUGCCUAAGGAUGGGGCUGCGGCCGAUCAGGCAGUUGGUGAGGUAACGGCUCACCAAACCUUUGACCGGUACGGGCCAUGAGAGUGGUAGCCCGGAGAUGGGCACUGAGACAAGGGCCCAGGCCCUACGGGGCGCAGCAGGCGCGAAACCUCCACAAUUCACGCAAGUGAGAUGGGGUUACCUCGAGUGCUAUCUGAAGAAGGUGGCUUUUCCAUGGUGUAAUGAGCUGUGGGAAUAAGGGGGGGGCAAGACUGGUGUCAGCCGCCGCGGUAACACCAGCCCCCCGAGUGGUGGGGAUGAUUAUUUGGCCUAAAGCGUCCGUAGCCAGCUCGGUAAAUCUCUCGUUAAAUCCAGCGUCCUAAGCGUUGGGCUGCGAGGGAAACUGCCGAACUAGAGGGUGGGAGAGGUCAGCGGUAUUCCUGGGGUAGGGGCGAAAUCCAUUGAUCCCAGGAGGACCACCAGUGGCGAAGGCUGCUGACUAGAACACGCCUGACGGUGAGGGACGAAAGCUGGGGUAGCGAAUCGGAUUAGAUACCCGAGUAGUCCCAGCCGUAAACGAUGUAGGCUAGGUGUUGGGUCGGCCAU
Molecule: ribosomal RNA, 586 nt
Filed under: uncultured archaeon
Lineage: Archaea
Description: bacterial SSU rRNA
Rfam family: Archaeal small subunit ribosomal RNA
Source: RNAcentral